AGCGGAGAGCCGGGAACUAAGAACAGUAGACCCAGAGAGGUGAGACCGGCCCCAAGCACCUGAGUCCUCAAGAAGAGUGACCGUUUCCGUGCCAGGAGGAUCCAAGGUGGGGAAACUGAGGCUGAGAGAGAAGGACGUUGACCAAGUGCUGGGAUUACCGAAUGGGAGCCACCAUGCCCAGUCAAGGUCUUUACUCAAAAUUCACCUUCUCCCUGGGUCUUCUCUGGAGACCCUAGCUUUAAAAAUAAAC
RNAcentral lists this non-coding RNA (250 nucleotides) under Pongo abelii (Sumatran orangutan). The record is from RNAcentral. Lineage: Eukaryota; Metazoa; Chordata; Mammalia; Primates; Hominidae.